GUGGGGAAUUUUGGACAAUGGGGGCAACCCUGAUCCAGCCAUGCCGCGUGCGGGAAGAAGGCCUUCGGGUUGUAAACCGCUUUUAGUCGGGAAGAAAAGAUCACUCUGAAUACGGGUGGUUCUUGACGGUACCGGCGGAAUAAGCACCGGCUAACUACGUGCCAGCAGCCGCGGUAAUACGUAGGGUGCGAGCGUUAAUCGGAAUUACUGGGCGUAAAGCGUGCGCAGGCGGUUCGUUAAGUUCGAUGUGAAAGCCCCGGGCUCAACCUGGGAAUGGCAUUGAAAACUGGCGGGCUUGAGUCUGGCAGAGGGGGGUGGAAUUCCGCGUGUAGCAGUGAAAUGCGUAGAGAUGCGGAGGAACACCGAUGGCGAAGGCAGCCCCCUGGGCCAAGACUGACGCUCAGGCACGAAAGCGUGGGGAGCAAACAGGAUUAGAUACCCGAGUAGUCC
RNAcentral lists this ribosomal RNA (450 nucleotides) under uncultured bacterium. RNAcentral's name for it is "bacterial SSU rRNA". It matches the Rfam family "Bacterial small subunit ribosomal RNA", at positions 354 to 796 of the family's 1533-position model. The record is from RNAcentral.